Long non-coding RNA from Felis catus (domestic cat), 539 nucleotides. RefSeq lists it as uncharacterized. Lineage: Eukaryota; Metazoa; Chordata; Mammalia; Carnivora; Felidae. The record is from RefSeq and is a predicted model, not a curated record. The transcript has 3 exons.
UGAAGAGUUUUCAGAGGGAGAAGGGCAAGGUCAGGUUUGUUUCAGAAAGGUGGUGCUGGUGAGCUACAGUACCAGCACUGUAUUCUAGCAGAAAUAACAUCCAGGGGCCAGUGGCAAAGACAGGAGCACAGGUGGGGUCAACUUCCCCCCAAAUGGCACCUUCGUUGGGGAUUGGAUCUGCUCAAAAAUCUUCAUGUGAAGAGGGGAACAGGGCCAUGGACGGACAAACAUCCACUAAGAGGCAGAGGCUCCCACACCACCAGCUAAGUUCCACGCCCCACGGGACUGUUUCCAUCUGUAGGUGAAAUGAAAUUCCACCUGGCUACACAAGCCUGAAACUUGGAAGGCAUCGUUCACUCCUCCCUUUCUCAUUUAUCACCACCAGUCAAUUAACUCCUGUGGAUCACACCUCUUAGCUACCUCUUACAAAAGGUCACCUCUUGGCUUUUUAUUUGCCCACGUAAUAAGGAAAUCCCAGCUCCUCCCCUGCCCCAACACACACCUCACAAGGGUCACAACCUCAGGGCCUUUACCUGUUC